UACGUAGGUGGCAAGCGUUGUCCGGAAUUAUUGGGCGUAAAGCGCGCGCAGGCGGUCCUUUAAGUCUGAUGUGAAAGCCCACGGCUCAACCGUGGAGGGUCAUUGGAAACUGGGGGACUUGAGUGCAGGAGAGAAAAGUGGAAUUCCACGUGUAGCGGUGAAAUGCGUAGAGAUGUGGAGGAACACCAGUGGCGAAGGCGACUUUUUGGCCUGUAACUGACGCUGAGGCGCGAAAGCGUGGGGAGCAAACGGG
This 253-nucleotide ribosomal RNA is filed under the name uncultured bacterium. Its description in RNAcentral is "partial 16S ribosomal RNA". It matches the Rfam family "Bacterial small subunit ribosomal RNA", at positions 524 to 776 of the family's 1533-position model. The record is from RNAcentral.